ACAGUUUACUCAUUUGCUCUCUUCUUUCAUAGUCAGCUGGUCCCUCUUCUCAGGUGUAGAUCACCUAUUAUCAUUUCACCUGUUUUGAUUCUCUGAUGAGGAAAGUCCCACGACUUAUCGGCUGGGAUAGGCCUCAUUUACAAGACAGCUCUGUUCAAUAUGUGGAAGGGGAUUGCAGUGGCAAAGCUAGGCUAGGUCUUGGAGGCUGGUGGAAGGCGAUGCGGGUGAAGGCUGGAGGCUGAUGGAGAAACUGGGGCGAAGAAAAGCCGAAAUGGAUUCGCAGUGCCUUGGAUGGAGGAUGAGAGGGGAAUUGCAAGCUCCUUCAACUCGUCCUGUCCGGUGAGAAGUGAUCGAGCUUGGGCUGACAAGAGGCUCAGGGAGCCCUCACGUUCUUUCGUUUUUUUACCUGCCAAUCAAACUGCUACAAGACAACACCCUGAUCUGGCAUGGACAUCGCGGGUCCAAGCCUGUAGCCCCAAAUCGGAUAAUCUCUGCAACUGAUAACAAGCAAAAGAGAAGCCAGGCAACAGCCAUAUUAAAGAAGAAUACAAUCAACUCUGAGGAUGCCAAUCUGAGAAUUUUCCCCAAGAAAAUCAAGUUCUUCUUUGAGCGUUCUAUCCUGGGAACUCAGUUCUAAAAUGUAGUCUUCAAGCAAGUGCCAGGAGGGAAGAUUUGAAUAUUCCUUUUUCUUAAAGCCUGGUACUGCGUUUCUUUUUGCCAAUGCUUCGAGUUUUUCUGCUUUCCCGGAGAGAUUGGAAAAAAAAAAAAGAAAAGAAAAGAAAAAAGAAAAAGAACUGCUGUACAACAUGCUAACCCAUUUGUACUUGAAGUUGUGGAAACAGCAUUUUAUCAGCAGUGUUUGUAAAAAUUAGAUUUGAAGUCGGGGUGAGCAUCCCUUUCGGAAGUGGGGGGUGAGGGAGCUUGGAGGGGGCUGGAGGAGGGAAGCAGUUUAUAUACAUACAUCUUCUUUGUGUUUAAAGGCCUCCGAGUCUUGGCUUCUCACUAAGUUAAAUCCCUAUUAUAAAACUUAUCUUCACAAAGCCUAUUAUAGUAUUCUGAGAACAAAUUGGACCAUGAAUAACUUAGUUGGAAGUGUAGAUUAUUUUCUACUCAGAGAAAGUUAGAGAUGACAACAGCUUAACUAAAAGAAUAGUGAUUCAUCUUAAAUAGAUGGAUUUCGAAGUUUCACUCUUGAUAAAGAGUAUCUUUGAUAUUUCCUCUCUUGAGACUCAUGUUUCUACUUUCUUGUAUUAAGAAUUGUCCUAGGGAUUACACAUCCUACCUAAUACAGGAUAGUUCUAACUAGAGAUCAUUUUCUUACAGAUUGUUAAUGUGUCAGUGAGAUCAGAAGACCUUUUGCUUUUUAUUGGUUAAAUACUCAGUUGCAAA
This is a long non-coding RNA of Suncus etruscus (white-toothed pygmy shrew), 1389 nucleotides long. RefSeq lists it as uncharacterized. The record is from RefSeq and is a predicted model, not a curated record. Lineage: Eukaryota; Metazoa; Chordata; Mammalia; Eulipotyphla; Soricidae. The transcript has 4 exons.